UACGGGGGGAGCAAGCGUUGUUCGGAUUUACUGGGCGUAAAGGGCGCGUAGGCGGUCGUGACAAGUCACUUGUGAAAUCUCCGGGCUUAACUCGGAACGGUCAAGUGAUACUGUCGGACUAGAGUACAGAAGGGGCAAUCGGAAUUCUUGGUGUAGCGGUGAAAUGCGUAGAUAUCAAGAGGAACACCUGAGGUGAAGACGGGUUGCUGGGCUGACACUGACGCUGAGGCGCGAAAGCCAGGGGAGCAAACGGG
Molecule: ribosomal RNA, 254 nt
Filed under: uncultured bacterium
Lineage: Bacteria
Description: partial 16S ribosomal RNA
Rfam family: Bacterial small subunit ribosomal RNA
Source: RNAcentral